UGGGGAAUAUUGCACAAUGGAGGGAACUCUGAUGCAGCGACGCCGCGUGAGUGAAGAAGGUCUUCGGAUCGUAAAACUCUGUCCUUGGUGAAGAAAAGGACGGUAGCCAAGGAGGAAGCCCCGGCUAACUACGUGCCAGCAGCCGCGGUAAUACGUAGGGGGCGAGCGUUGUCCGGAUUUACUGGGCGUAAAGGGUGAGUAGGCGGUUAUAUAUGUCAGGUGUAAAAGAUCAUGGCUCAACCAUGGUUGGCACUUGAAACUGUAUGACUUGAGUGCAGGAGAGGUAAGCGGAAUUCCUAGUGUAGCGGUGAAAUGCGUAGAUAUUAGGAGGAACACCAGUGGCGAAGGCGGCUUACUGGACUGUAACUGACGCUGAGACACGAAAGCGUGGGUAGCAAACAGG
RNAcentral lists this ribosomal RNA (403 nucleotides) under uncultured bacterium. RNAcentral's name for it is "bacterial SSU rRNA". It matches the Rfam family "Bacterial small subunit ribosomal RNA", at positions 355 to 776 of the family's 1533-position model. The record is from RNAcentral.